ACGUUCGGUGGAGGAACCAGACUGGAAGUUAACUUGGGUCGAGUCGCCCCCACCCUGACGGUGCUGCCCCCCUCCAGCCAGGAGCUGCAGCAGGGGAAGGCCACGCUCACGUGUCUGGCCAACAAGGGCUUCCCCUCAGACUGGAGUCUGGCCUGGAAGGUGGACGGCAGCAGCUGUAGUAGCAGUUGCUGGGAGCAGAGCAGGAGCCCCGGGGUGCUGCAGCAGGACGGCCACUACAGCUGGAGCAGCACCCUGAGGCUCACUGCAGACCAGUGGAGGAAGGUGGGCUCUGUGACCUGUGAGGCCACCCAGGGCUCCCAGUCUCCACUCUCAGAGACACUGAGGAGAGACCAGUGUUCCCAGUCCUGACCUGACUCACUGGGACUCUGCUACUGGUUUUACUCUGCUACUGCUCUCACUCUGAUGUCUGCAACUCUGGUUUUUUCUCCCUCUGUCUCUUUAAAUGUGGCAGUAAUGAUGUUUCUUCCUUUCUGGUUUUAAUAUUCAAGAAAACAUUUUUUAUGCUUGCAUUGAUAUG
Molecule: non-coding RNA, 538 nt
Organism: Scomber scombrus (Atlantic mackerel)
Lineage: Eukaryota; Metazoa; Chordata; Actinopteri; Scombriformes; Scombridae
Source: the annotation of a RefSeq genome assembly